UGUGUUCAUGUGAAGUAGUAAUAUCUAGACGCAAUCAACCCCAUACAGUAAUUAUCACUAGUUUAUGACACAAUAUGAUGUUUAAUUUCGCCUGAGACUGGAAUCUGAAGACUGUGACUGAUCUGUGUGCUUGAUAGCUGUGAUUUUAGAAUGAACUCUCCUUGAAUAUUGUCUUUGCCAAUCCAUUACAAAGCUUGAGGUUUGUA
Pelobates cultripes (western spadefoot toad) is the source of this 206-nucleotide non-coding RNA. The record is from the annotation of a GenBank genome assembly. NCBI's taxonomy places the organism in Eukaryota, Metazoa, Chordata, Amphibia, Anura, Pelobatidae.